This 309-nucleotide long non-coding RNA is filed under the name Brassica napus (rape). RNAcentral describes it as "long non-coding RNA (BNAP_LNC007105)". Lineage: Eukaryota; Viridiplantae; Streptophyta; Magnoliopsida; Brassicales; Brassicaceae. The record is from RNAcentral.
CGUUACUCUAGAAAGUAUUUUUUGAGAAGACAAAAGUUGCCAUUUGACCCCCAAAAACAAUGCCACGUAACAAGAAGACAAUUACAGUCAUCGAGAGUCCCGUCAAUCGAAGCAUACAACUCCGAGAUCCGUCUCUGUUCGAGAUGAGGUAAUCAUAACACGUGUUUGGUUCACAAACUCAUCACACUUCAAGAUAGAUCUGAAAAGUGGGCCCUUGAAGGUUUUCAUUGACGCGGCCUAGAUUGCCGUAAUUGCACACAACAGUCGCACACUUCCUAUGCCCAAAACUCUCUUGUCAUUUUAGGAUAU